RNAcentral lists this ribosomal RNA (301 nucleotides) under uncultured bacterium. RNAcentral describes it as "partial 16S ribosomal RNA". It matches the Rfam family "Bacterial small subunit ribosomal RNA", at positions 509 to 807 of the family's 1533-position model. The record is from RNAcentral.
CAGUAGCCGCGGGAAUACGGAGGGUGCAAGCGUUAUCCGGAUUUAUUGGGUUUAAAGGGUCCGUAGGCGGACUUAUAAGUCAGUGGUGAAAGCCUGUCGCUUAACGAUAGAACUGCCAUUGAUACUGUAAGUCUUGAGUAUAUUUGAGGUAGCUGGAAUAAGUAGUGUAGCGGUGAAAUGCAUAGAUAUUACUUAGAACACCAAUUGCGAAGGCAGGUUACCAAGAUAUAACUGACGCUGAGAGACGAAAGCGUGGGUAGCGAACAGGAUUAGAUACCCCUGUAGUCCCUGUCUCUUAUAC